AAAACUUUCAACAACGGAUCUCUUGGUUCUGGCAUCGAUGAAGAACGCAGCGAAAUGCGACAAGUAAUGCGAAUUGCAGAAUUUCCGUGAGUCAUCGAAUCUUUGAACGCACAUUGCGCCCACUGGUAUUCCGGUGGGCAUGCCUGUUCGAGCGUCAUU
Molecule: ribosomal RNA, 159 nt
Filed under: Knufia petricola
Lineage: Eukaryota; Fungi; Ascomycota; Eurotiomycetes; Chaetothyriales; Trichomeriaceae
Description: 5.8S ribosomal RNA
Rfam family: 5.8S ribosomal RNA
About the family: 5.8S ribosomal RNA (5.8S rRNA) is a component of the large subunit of the eukaryotic ribosome. It is transcribed by RNA polymerase I as part of the 45S precursor that also contains 18S and 28S rRNA.
Source: RNAcentral